UACGUAGGGGGCAAGCGUUGUCCGGAUUUAUUGGGCGUAAAGAGCUCGUAGGCUGUUCGAUAAGUCGGGUGUGAAACCUCCAGGCUCAACCUGGAGACGCCACCCGAUACUGUCAUGACUAGAGUCCGGUAGGGGAGCGUGGAAUUCCUGGUGUAGCGGUGAAAUGCGCAGAUAUCAGGAGGAACACCAGCGGCGAAGGCGGCGCUCUGGGCCGGUACUGACGCUGAGGAGCGAAAGCGUGGGUAGCAAACAGG
RNAcentral lists this ribosomal RNA (254 nucleotides) under uncultured bacterium. Its description in RNAcentral is "partial 16S ribosomal RNA". It matches the Rfam family "Bacterial small subunit ribosomal RNA", at positions 524 to 776 of the family's 1533-position model. The record is from RNAcentral.